GUAUCAAUUCAUUAUCUUUCUGAUCAUGUCUGCCAGAAUUAGUGGAUGAACUAAGGAGUUCACAAGUAGUUUUUUCUUUGUGAUUGGUAGAUGCCACUACCCCUCUAAACUCCUGACCUUCAUACAAGUCAACAUCAGUCUUUUUAGUGAUCAUAAAACGGUGAGUUGUCUGACAGAACUUUGGAGGACCCUUGAGCGCCUGUCCAACAGAGUCUACAGUGGUACAUAUUCUCAUAGUUUCCACGUCAUGGACAGAAAAUGGGAGUCUCUGCAUUGAGUAACCUCCAUGGUACAAGUAUUCUGGUAAGGUAGUGCCUGCAUGGUUGCUCUGGCUUUGAAAGGGUAAGGUAUCAGAACUAUUUUUCCUAGUAUCACAUUGUGUAGGGUAUGGAUUAGGUUGGUCAAGAUUGUUUG
This 414-nucleotide unclassified non-coding RNA is filed under the name Hevea brasiliensis (rubber tree). The record is from RNAcentral. Lineage: Eukaryota; Viridiplantae; Streptophyta; Magnoliopsida; Malpighiales; Euphorbiaceae.